GGCAUGGAUAAGUAUCAGCAAACAUGCAGGAUUUCAGGAUUGUCCCAGGCCUCCCACUGAGCCAAGCCAAGGAGAAGGAUUAUCCCAGCAGAACUGGUCUUAGGAGUGACAAAGACCUGAGGGAUGGCUUUGGAAAGGCUUUAGCCGACUGCCUGUCAAUGGCACAGCUUCCAGUGUGCAGAGAAAACACCCUGGUAGUGCCUUGAAGAAGAAGGUCUUGAGGAAGCAGGACAACGUGCCCGUACUGCCCAAUAUGCCCAUCAUCCAUGGGGAUGGCAGCUUCCCACAAAAUU
Molecule: non-coding RNA, 293 nt
Organism: Cyanistes caeruleus (blue tit)
Lineage: Eukaryota; Metazoa; Chordata; Aves; Passeriformes; Paridae
Source: RefSeq, a predicted model, not a curated record